CUACGGGGGGCAGCAGUGGGGAAUAUUGGGCAAUGGGCGCAAGCCUGACCCAGCAACGCCGCGUGAAGGAAGAAGGCUUUCGGGUUGUAAACUUCUUUUGUCAGGGACGCAGCAAGUGACGGUACCUGACGAAUAAGCCACGGCUAACUACGUGCCAGUAGCCGCGGUAAUACGUAGGUGGCAAGCGUUAUCCGGAUUUACUGGGUGUAAAGGUCGGGUAGGCGGGACUGCAAGUCAGAUGUGAAAACCACGGGCUAAACCUGUGGCCUGCAUUUGAAACUGUAGUUCUUGAGUACUGGAGAGGCAGACGGAAUUCCUAGUGUAGCGGUGAAAUGCGUAGAUAUUAGGAGGAACACCAGUGGCGAAGGCGGUCUGCUGGACAGCAACUGACGCUGAGGCGCGAAAGCGUGGGGAGCAAACAGGAUUAGAUACCCUAGUAGUC
Molecule: ribosomal RNA, 442 nt
Filed under: uncultured bacterium
Lineage: Bacteria
Description: partial 16S ribosomal RNA
Rfam family: Bacterial small subunit ribosomal RNA
Source: RNAcentral